ACGAACGCUGGCGGCAUGCCUAACACAUGCAAGUCGAACGGGGUCAUGGGGCUUGCUCCAUGACUUAGUGGCGCACGGGUGAGUAACGCGUGGGAACCUGCCCUGGAGUGGGGAAUAACGACGGGAAACUGUCGCUAAUACCGCAUACGUCCCCCUUUGGCGACAUUGGGGGAGAAAGGCUUCGGCCGCUCAAGGAUGGUCCCGCGUCCGAUUAGCUAGUUGGUGAGGUAACGGCUCACCAAGGCGACGAUCGGUAGCUGGUCUGAGAGGAUGAUCAGCCACACUGGGACGGAGACACGGCCCAGACUCCUACGGGAGGCAGCAGUGGGGAAUAUUGGACAAUGGGGGAAACCCUGAUCCAGCAAUGCCGCGUGAGUGAAGAAGGCCUUAGGGUUGUAAAGCUCUUUCAGACGUGACGAUGAUGACGGUAGCGUCAGAAGAAGCCCCGGCUAACUUCGU
Molecule: ribosomal RNA, 459 nt
Filed under: uncultured bacterium
Lineage: Bacteria
Description: bacterial SSU rRNA
Rfam family: Bacterial small subunit ribosomal RNA
Source: RNAcentral